CAGUAACCACUGUGGUGCCUGGCACACACAAGGGGCUCACUAAUUAUGAUUUGCAGCCAUUAUUACAAAUGUCUGGGUCAUGCCAGAUGCAAGUGCUGGGAGGAGAAAAGAGAGGAAAGGACGGGUCAGCCCAGCAGUCUUUCACUUCCAGCCACACAACAGAAUUGCUUUACAGAAAUAUUGAUGCCCAGGCACCACUCCAGAGAUUUUGAUUCUUUGGAUCCCAGAGAGCUGCAGGGGCAGCUGCCUGGACCCAGCCUCUCAUGGAAGUCUGGACCAGCACCAGGCUCUUCUCCAGCAUGGAGAGGAUUGUGGGAGACACUGCAGCCAGAGGCGCUCGGAGUCCCUGAGGCAAGAGUGACGUGAGCUUGACCUGGACAUCUGAGGACGUCCGGUCCAACUCCUUGCCUUGGCAGGAAUCACUCCUGCAGCGUUCCCCGAGGGGGCUACCCACACCCACCUCACUCCAACCCUUCUCAGCCCCUGGGUCUCAGUCAUUUUCCCAGCUCCACUCGGGGCCAUUGCUCAACCCAUGUCAGGAGCUUGAAGCCUCACAACUCCAGGAAGUGAGUUUGUCAAUCUUAAUUUUCCCAGGGAAAAUAUAACAUCAGGAAGUCCACACAGCCAGCAUGUGGAAAUGUGGGAAAGCUGGGACUCAAACCUAGGUCUCAGAUGCUAAGGGCUGGGCUUUCUCCCACUGUUUCAUGCACCUAACCUCUUAGAAACGGGCUGAGCUGUUCUCUGCACACCCCACAUCUGGAGGUGAGAACACUAAGAAGUCAGUUACGUCAGGGCAAAGUGUGAGUUAGUGAGCUCAUCAGAAAAUGCUUCCUGGAGAAGGAAGUACAAUUCUGGAGGAGGGACCUGGUGGGCCAGUCUGGAGGCCUUGGCCUCUCUGGGCGCAAGCUCUGGGCUUGCCUGGUUCCCUCAGGGGCAGGGGAGCUGUCUUUCCAGAGGGACACAGCCCUGACCGAGGCCUGUUGAUUCCUCCUACCUGGAUUUCUUCUGGGUCUGUGGGUGUUCAGUCCUCAGGAGUCUGGAAGAGCACACACUAUCCCGACACCUUUGAUACCUACGUAUAUAGUCCCCUUGUUCUCAGAAUCGCCUGAGGCCACAUUCACAUCCUCAGUGCCUCAGGCUGCAACAUCCUCAGAGUCCAAUGUGUGGGCCUAACCAUUGAUGUCUGAGUCCAACAAUUCAUAUUCAUAUCGCUCAAUGACACACUGGCUUCAUGGUGGAAACGUCCCUGUUUGGGGGGAAGACCACUGGUGUGUUUUACAUUUGUGUGACCAAAAGGCCCAUUUGGUCAUUUCCCUCCCAACAAAGGGCAGGAGAGUUCAG
RNAcentral lists this long non-coding RNA (1341 nucleotides) under Felis catus (domestic cat). Its description in RNAcentral is "lncRNA (ENSFCAG00000052755.1)". The record is from RNAcentral. Lineage: Eukaryota; Metazoa; Chordata; Mammalia; Carnivora; Felidae.